RNAcentral lists this ribosomal RNA (241 nucleotides) under uncultured Staphylococcus sp. Its description in RNAcentral is "partial 16S ribosomal RNA". It matches the Rfam family "Bacterial small subunit ribosomal RNA", at positions 100 to 334 of the family's 1533-position model. The record is from RNAcentral. Lineage: Bacteria; Bacillati; Bacillota; Bacilli; Caryophanales; Staphylococcaceae.
GGGACAGGUGAGUAACACGUGGAUAACCUACCUAUAAGACUGGGAUAACUUCGGGAAACCGGAGCUAAUACCGGAUAAUAUUUUGAACCGCAUGGUUCAAAAGUGAAAGACGGUCUUGCUGUCACUUAUAGAUGGAUCCGCGCUGCAUUAGCUAGUUGGUAAGGUAACGGCUUACCAAGGCAACGAUGCAUAGCCGACCUGAGAGGGUGAUCGGCCACACUGGAACUGAGACACGGUCCAG